This is a small nucleolar RNA of Ipomoea nil (Japanese morning glory), 108 nucleotides long. It matches the Rfam family "Plant small nucleolar RNA R71". From Rfam's summary of the family: R71 is a member of the C/D box family of snoRNAs containing the C (UGAUGA) and D (CUGA) box motifs. Multiple nearly identical copies of this snoRNA have been identified in Arabidopsis, and it is thought to function as a 2'-O-ribose methylation guide for 18S ribosomal RNA. Lineage: Eukaryota; Viridiplantae; Streptophyta; Magnoliopsida; Solanales; Convolvulaceae. The record is from Rfam.
UAGCCAUGGUGGGGGCAUUUAAUGAGCAACAUUUUAAACCUUUCCCAUGCCUCAUGAAAUGGUUCGCCUUCAGCUUGCGAAAAAGUCGCAAUUUUUCUUCUUAAUUCG